UUGACCUCGGAUCAGGUAGGGAUACCCGCUGAACUUAAGCAUAUCAAUAAGCGGAGGAAAAGAAACCAACAGGGAUUGCCCCAGUAACGGCGAGUGAAGCGGCAAGAGCUCAAAUUUGAAAGCUGGCUCCUUCGGGGUCCGCAUUGUAAUUUGUAGAGGAUGCUUCGGGAGCGGUCCCCAUCUAAGUGCCCUGGAACGGGACGUCAUAGAGGGUGAGAAUCCCGUAUGGGAUGGGGUGUCCGCGCCCGUGUGAAGCUCCUUCGACGAGUCGAGUUGUUUGGGAAUGCAGCUCUAAAUGGGUGGUAAAUUUCAUCUAAAGCUAAAUAUUGGCCGGAGACCGAUAGCGCACAAGUAGAGUGAUCGAAAGAUGAAAAGCACUUUGAAAAGAGAGUUAAAAAGCACGUGAAAUUGUUGAAAGGGAAGCGCUUGCGACCAGACUCGCUCGCGGGGUUCAGCCGGCACUCGUGCCGGUGUACUUCCCCGCGGGCGGGCCAGCGUCGGUUUGGGCGGUCGGUCAAAGGCCCUCGGAAGGUAACGCCCCCAGGGGCGUCUUAUAGCCGAGGGUGCAAUGCGACCUGCCUAGACCGAGGAACGCGCUUCGGCUCGGACGCUGGCAUAA
This 619-nucleotide ribosomal RNA is filed under the name Penicillium vulpinum. RNAcentral describes it as "eukaryotic LSU rRNA". It matches the Rfam family "Eukaryotic large subunit ribosomal RNA", at positions 1 to 634 of the family's 3401-position model. Lineage: Eukaryota; Fungi; Ascomycota; Eurotiomycetes; Eurotiales; Aspergillaceae. The record is from RNAcentral.